CCUACGGGCGGCUGCAGUCGGGAAUAUUGCUCAAUGGGGGGAACCCUGAAGCAGCAACGCCGCGUGGAGGAUGAAGGUUUUCGGAUUGUAAACUCCUUUUGUUAGAGAAGAUAAUGACGGUAUCUAACGAAUAAGCACCGGCUAACUCCGUGCCAGCAGCCGCGGUAAGACGGAGGGUGCAAGCGUUACUCGGAAUCACUGGGCGUAAAGAGCGCGUAGGCGGGAUAGCAAGUCAGAUGUGAAAUCCUAUGGCUUAACCAGAGAACUGCAUUUGAAACUGUUAUUCUAGAGUAAGGGAGAGGUAGGUGGAAUUCUUGGUGUAGGGGUAAAAUGCGUAGAGAUCGAGAGGAAUACUCAUUGCGAAGGCGAGCUGCUAGAACAUAACUGACGCUGAUGCGCGAAGGCGUGGGGAGCAAACGGGAUUAGAUACCCCAGUAGUC
This 440-nucleotide ribosomal RNA is filed under the name uncultured bacterium. RNAcentral's name for it is "partial 16S ribosomal RNA". It matches the Rfam family "Bacterial small subunit ribosomal RNA", at positions 338 to 795 of the family's 1533-position model. The record is from RNAcentral.